Molecule: unclassified non-coding RNA, 299 nt
Filed under: fungal sp.
Lineage: Eukaryota; Fungi
Description: partial internal transcribed spacer region
Rfam family: Eukaryotic small subunit ribosomal RNA (bases 1-46)
Source: RNAcentral
AAGUCGUAACAAGGUAACCGUAGGUGAACCUGCGGUUGGAUCAUUAAUAAAGAAUUUGUGUCGCAUCGGCCUUUUGGGUUGACGCGACAUACAAAUUUAUCACCCCCCUUUGUGAACUGUUUCCCGUAUUUUGGUGGCUCACUAAAACAGCAACCUGGGCCGUCAGGCUCCGGGGAGCUAGAGCCGCCAGUCAAUAUCCACACCAAUGUUUUAUUUUAUACAUCAUGUCUCCAAAAGAUUCCUCGAAUCUUUGUUUUUAUAAUAAAAAACAACUUUUGACAACGGAUCUCUUGGCUCUC